AACGAACGCUGGCGGCAUGCCUAACACAUGCAAGUCGAACGAGACCUUCGGGUCUAGUGGCGCACGGGUGCGUAACGCGUGGGAACCUGCCCUUAGGUUCGGAAUAACUCCCCGAAAGGGGUGCUAAUACCGGAUAAUGUCUUCGGACCAAAGAUUUAUCGCCUUUGGAUGGGCCCGCGUUGGCUUAGCUAGUUGGUAGGGUAAAAGCCUACCAAGGCGACGAUCCAUAGCUGGUCUGAGAGGAUGAUCAGCCACACUGGGACUGAGACACGGCCCAGACUCCUACGGGAGGCAGCGGUGGGGAAUAUUGGACAAUGGGCGAAAGCCUGAUCCAGCAAUGCCGCGUGAGUGAUGAAGGCCUUAGGGUUGUAAAGCUCUUUUACCCGGGAUGAUAAUGACAGUACCGGGAGAAUAAGCUCCGGCUAACUCCGUG
Molecule: ribosomal RNA, 433 nt
Filed under: uncultured bacterium
Lineage: Bacteria
Description: partial 16S ribosomal RNA
Rfam family: Bacterial small subunit ribosomal RNA
Source: RNAcentral